GGGUGAUUAGCUCAGUUGGUAGAGCAGCUGACUCUUAAUCAGCGGGUCGUAGGUUCGAACCCUACAUCACCCA
This is a transfer RNA of Rhizobium oryziradicis, 73 nucleotides long. It matches the Rfam family "tRNA". From Rfam's summary of the family: Transfer RNA (tRNA) molecules are approximately 80 nucleotides in length. Their secondary structure includes four short double-helical elements and three loops (D, anti-codon, and T loops). NCBI's taxonomy places the organism in Bacteria, Pseudomonadati, Pseudomonadota, Alphaproteobacteria, Hyphomicrobiales, Rhizobiaceae. The record is from Rfam.